RNAcentral lists this transfer RNA (76 nucleotides) under Neotoma lepida (desert woodrat). It matches the Rfam family "tRNA". From Rfam's summary of the family: Transfer RNA (tRNA) molecules are approximately 80 nucleotides in length. Their secondary structure includes four short double-helical elements and three loops (D, anti-codon, and T loops). Lineage: Eukaryota; Metazoa; Chordata; Mammalia; Rodentia; Cricetidae. The record is from Rfam by way of RNAcentral.
GAUUGAAUAGUCCAGUUGGUAGAACAUCAAUCAGACUUUUAUUCUGAGGGUCAGGGUUCACAUCCCUGUUUGCUUA